GUAGUUUGAUCGUGGCUCAGGAUGAACGCUGGCGGCGUGCCUAAUACAUGCAAGUCGAGCGAACAGACGGGGAGCUUUGCUCCCCUGACGUUAGCGGCGGACGGGUGAGUAACACGUGGGUAACCUACCUAUAAGACUGGAAUAACUCCGGGAAACCGGGGCUAAUGCCGGAUAACAUGUUGGACCGCAUGGUCCUACAGUGAAAGACGGUCUUGACUGUCACUUUAUAGGUGGACCCGCGCCGUAUUAGCUAGUUUGGUAAGGUAACGGCUUACCUAAGGCAACGAUACGUAGCCGACCUGAGAGGGUGAUCGGCCACACUGGAACUGAGACACGGUCCAGACUCCUACGGGAGGCAGCAGUAGGGAAUCUUCCGCAAUGGGCGAAAGCCUGACGGAGCAACGCCGCGUGAGUGAUG
RNAcentral lists this ribosomal RNA (418 nucleotides) under uncultured microorganism. RNAcentral's name for it is "bacterial SSU rRNA". It matches the Rfam family "Bacterial small subunit ribosomal RNA", at positions 9 to 410 of the family's 1533-position model. The record is from RNAcentral.